This 78-nucleotide transfer RNA is filed under the name Planctomycetota bacterium. RNAcentral describes it as "tRNA-Pro". It matches the Rfam family "tRNA". Rfam says of the family: Transfer RNA (tRNA) molecules are approximately 80 nucleotides in length. The record is from RNAcentral. Lineage: Bacteria; Pseudomonadati; Planctomycetota.
CGGGGCGUAGCGCAGCCUGGCUAGCGCGCGUGGUUUGGGACCACGAGGUCGCGGGUUCGAAUCCCGCCGCCCCGACCA